Long non-coding RNA from Lynx canadensis (Canada lynx), 1070 nucleotides. RefSeq lists it as uncharacterized. The transcript has 3 exons. The record is from RefSeq and is a predicted model, not a curated record. NCBI's taxonomy places the organism in Eukaryota, Metazoa, Chordata, Mammalia, Carnivora, Felidae.
CGCCCAGGCCGGCGACCCAGACGUCCGGCCUGAGUGUGCAGGUCUUGGGGCUGAAAGCGGGGGCGCUUUGGAAGCCGUUCUCGAGGUGGAGGGAAAGGAUUCUUCUCUACCGUUUGGAGACCCAGUGCUGUCCCGGCCGGUGGGAGCGGCAGCACUGACGGGGUCUGACGGCAGGUCAGUGGGAGGUGCUGUUCCGGGAGGAAGAGAACUUGAGAGGGAACGGCUCAGAAGGUGAAGCACAGAGCAUUUUCUGCGACUCUCCUACGUGCCUGUAAGACUCUUCUGCGAAAACUCACUGGGUUCUCCCUUCACCUAAAAGCUCCUGAAACCUCCAUUCUUCAAAGUGUUCUUCAUCAAGAAGGGAUGUUCACAGAAACCAUAAUCCUUAGAAGAAGGCUCCCCCCACCCCGGCCCCCAGGGCCUACGGCACAGAGCUGUGAAGUCACUGGUCAGGGGUGGAAUGAGACCAGUGGCCACGGGGUGGAUGACGUCACCAGGAUCCAACCUGAACGUCCCCCAAAUGCGCCAAAGACAUCAUGUUCUCACCGGGUGAACCGUGAGAACUGUAACCCAGCGGGCCUCUGAUGUGUUAGCUGUGACAUUGGACCAGUGUGAGCCCACAGAGGUCUGCACGCUUGGAACUACUCAGAGGGAUCGUUAGGAAACACAGCCGCAAAUGCUGCCACUCAACCCAGCUUCAGCGCGUGAUGAAGCGUGUGCUCCAGGGAGGUGCGGAAGAGAGCGUCUUCUUCUUGAUAGGCGUUCUUACUUUACAGUGACAGAGUAAACGCACAGUGAAUUCUCACUAGUUGUAGGACAAACCUAAAAAAUCUUUUUAUAUAAGGACAUAGAAAAAUGUAAUGGCCACAGGCCAUGAGAAACAGCCUGUCAGGAUUAAGCAGAUUAUUCAGAAUUUAUUUGAAGCUGUGAGAGCCAUUCCUUUUUUGCACAGCUGAGUCAUGGUGUAAUUGUCAGACAUUCUGUGAGCACACUGAGCAAAUUUCUCCCUGCUAUUCUCUAUCCUAUAUGCUGUUUGUUUCUUUAAUAGUAGUAAUUAUAGGGGCGCCUGG